This is a long non-coding RNA of Oncorhynchus keta (chum salmon), 3525 nucleotides long. RefSeq lists it as uncharacterized. The transcript has 10 exons. The record is from RefSeq and is a predicted model, not a curated record. Lineage: Eukaryota; Metazoa; Chordata; Actinopteri; Salmoniformes; Salmonidae.
GCCUCAUUAACACCACCCUGUAGGGCCACCGGUUGGCCUCAUUAACACCACCCUGUAGGGCCACCGGUUGGCCUCAUUAACACCACCCUGUAGGGCCACCGGUUGGCCUCAUUAACACCACCCUGUAGGGCCACCGGUUGGCCUCAUUAACACCACCCUGUAGGGCCACCGGUUGGCCUCAUUAACACCACCCUGUAGGGCCACCGGUUGGCCUCAUUAACACCACCCUGUAGGGCCACCGGUUGGCCUCAUUAACACCACCCUGUAGGGCCACCGGUUGGCCUCAUUAACACCACCCUGUAGGGCCACCGGUUGGCCUCAUUAACACCACCCUGUAGGGCCACCGGUUGGCCUCAUUAACACCACCCUGUAGGGCCACCGGUUGGCCUCAUUAACACCACCCUGUAGGGCCACCGGUUGGCCUCAUUAACACCACCCUGUAGGGCUACCGGUUGGCCUCAUUAACACCACCCUGUAGGGCCACCGGUUGGCCUCAUUAACACCACCCUGUAGGGCCACCGGUUGGCCUCAUUAACACCCCCCUGUAGGGCUACCGGUUGGCCUCAUUAACACCACCCUGUAGGGCCAGUUCACCAUUGAAAUACAUGGAAUUCUACAGUAUUUCAAUGAAGGACAAAAUGACAUGUAUUUCAGUAUGUUCCUUUGUAGUGGGGCCAAUAACAUUAGUACUUUAAGGAAAAACGGUUUAAUAUUUUUUUUUACAUGUUAUAAAAAUUUUAAAAAAUGUUUAGCUCACAUUGAAUAAUUAUAAAGUCUGCGUUACGGUGUCUGAUAGAAUAUACACUUGUUAACAACGAAUGUAGAUAUGAAUACAUGUAGACAUGAAUACAUGCAGUUCUACAGCUUCCAACAUCUUUUCUACACUGGAGGAGGACUACUAAGAUGGCUGUGCGGUGGCUUCAAUACAGCGCCCCCUGUCAGUCAUCUAGGGUUUAUACACAUCUUUGGUCCCACCAUGGAGCUCUGUCUCAGAGCAGACUGUUCACUAGACAAGGGCCUGGUCACAGGUGGGUCCCAGCAUGGAGCUCCGGCCACAGAUCCUAUAGUACAGACAGGGGCCUGGUCUGGUCAUGGAACUCCGCCACUGAGCAUACUCUAGCAAGGGCCUGGUCACAGGUGGGUCCCAGCAUGGAGCUCCACAACAAAGCCUACAGUACAGACAGGGGCCUGGUCAUGGAGCUCCACCACUGAGCAUUCUCUAGACAAGGGACCAGUCACAGGUGGGUCCCAGCAUGGAGCUCCACCACAAAGCCUACAGUACAGACAGGGGCCUGGUCAUGGAGCUCCCCCACUGAGCAUUCUCUAGACAAGGGACCAGUCACAGGUGGGUCCCAGCAUGGAGCUCCGCCACAGAGCCUUCAGUACAGACAGGGACCUGGUCAUGGAGCUCUGUCACACAGCUCACAGUACUACUUAUCAGAGUUGGGGUCAACUCCAUUUCAAAUCAAUCAAUGAUGGAAUUGGAAUUUCUGUUCACUAAAAUAGAAUUGUAGUUUUCUUUUAAUUGAAUUGUAAAAUGAAGCUGAACCCUGGUGUGGAAACAUUCUCCAGUCACCACACACUGAAGGACGUGAAGAGGACGGUUGGCGUAUCCAGACCCUCUAGCAGUCCAGUUUGAUUGAGUUUGUUGAUUAUAAACACUUUUUUCCUGUGUUGUUUACCAGGGUUUCUGGAAAGGGAAGUUGCUCUUUAUCGAUUUGUUUUAGGAAUUGUGCUAGCUGACUGUUCUAGUGAGUGAAGAGCCAGCUGCUUUGAGUCUCGUCUGACCCGCUGUCUCUCUGUGUGGCCACCACGGUGUUCAGUAAGCUGUGGAGAGGGGAUUCGACAGAGACAGGUUAUCUGACCCGCUGUCUCUCUGUGUGGCCACCACGGUGUUCAGUAAGCUGUGGAGAGGGGAUUCGACAGAGACAGGUUAUCUGACCCGCUGUCUCUCUGUGUGGCCACCACAGUGUUCAGUAAGCUGUGGAGAGGGGAUUCGACAGAGACAGGUUAUCUGACCCGCUGUCUCUCUGUGUGGCCACCACAGUGUUCAGUAAGCUGUGGAGAGGGGAUUCGACAGAGACAGGUUAUCUGACCCGCUGUCUCUCUGUGUGGCCACCACAGUGUUCAGUAAGCUGUGGAGAGGGGAUUCGACAGAGACAGGUUAUCUGACCCGCUGUCUCUCUGUGUGGCCACCACAGUGUUCAGUAAGCUGUGGAGAGGGGAUUCGACAGAGACAGGUUAUCUGACCCGCUGUCUCUCUGUGUGGCCACCACAGUGUUCAGUAAGCUGUGGAGAGGGGAUUCGACAGAGACAGGUUAUCUGACCCGCUGUCUCUCUGUGUGGCCACCACAGUGUUCAGUAAGCUGUGGAGAGGGGAUUCGACAGAGACAGGUUAUCUGACCCGCUGUCUCUCUGUGUGGCCACCACAGUGUUCAGUAAGCUGUGGAGAGGGGAUUCGACAGAGACAGGUUAUCUGACCCGCUGUCUCUCUGUGUGGCCACCACAGUGUUCAGUAAGCUGUGGAGAGGGGAUUCGACAGAGACAGGUUAUCUGACCCGCUGUCUCUCUGUGUGGCCACCACAGUGUUCAGUAAGCUGUGGAGAGGGGAUUCGACAGAGACAGGUUAUCUGACCCGCUGUCUCUCUGUGUGGCCACCACAGUGUUCAGUAAGCUGUGGAGAGGGGAUUCGACAGAGACAGGUUAUCUGACCCGCUGUCUCUCUGUGUGGCCACCACGGUGUUCAGUAAGCUGUGGAGAGGGGAUUCGACAGAGACAGGUUAUCUGACCCGCUGUCUCUCUGUGUGGCCACCACAGUGUUCAGUAAGCUGUGGAGAGGGGAUUCGACAGAGACAGGUUAUCUGACCCGCUGUCUCUCUGUGUGGCCACCACAGUGUUCAGUAAGCUGUGGAGAGGGGAUUCGACAGAGACAGGUUAUCUGACCCGCUGUCUCUCUGUGUGGCCACCACGGUGUUCAGUAAGCUGUGGAGAGGGGAUUCGACAGAGACAGGUUAUCUGACCCGCUGUCUCUCUGUGUGGCCACCACGGUGUUCAGUAAGCUGUGGAGAGGGGAUUCGACAGAGACAGGUUAUCUGACCCGCUGUCUCUCUGUGUGGCCACCACGGUGUUCAGUAAGCUGUGGAGAGGGGAUUCGACAGAGACAGGUUAUCUGACCCGCUGUCUCUCUGUGUGGCCACCACGGUGUUCAGUAAGCUGUGGAGAGGGGAUUCGACAGAGACAGGUUAUCUGACCCGCUGUCUCUCUGUGUGGCCACCACGGUGUUCAGUAAGCUGUGGAGAGGGGAUUCGACAGAGACAGGUUAUCUGACCCGCUGUCUCUCUGUGUGGCCACCACGGUGUUCAGUAAGCUGUGGAGAGGGGAUUCGACAGAGACAGGUUAUCUGACCCGCUGUCUCUCUGUGUGGCCACCACAGUGUUCAGUAAGCUGUGGAGAGGGGAUUCGACAGAGACAGGUUAUCUGACCCGCUGUCUCUCUGUGUGGCCACCACAGUGUUCAGUAAGCUGU